This 1467-nucleotide ribosomal RNA is filed under the name uncultured organism. RNAcentral describes it as "SSU rRNA". It matches the Rfam family "Bacterial small subunit ribosomal RNA". The record is from RNAcentral.
AACGCUGGCGGCGUGCCUAAUACAUGCAAGUCGUACGCUUCUUUUUCCACCGGAGCUUGCUCCACCGGAAAAAGAAGAGUGGCGAACGGGUGAGUAACACGUGGGUAACCUGCCCAUCAGAAGGGGAUAACACUUGGAAACAGGUGCUAAUACCGUAUAACAAUCGAAACCGCAUGGUUUUGAUUUGAAAGGCGCUUUCGGGUGUCGCUGAUGGAUGGACCCGCGGUGCAUUAGCUAGUUGGUGAGGUAACGGCUCACCAAGGCUACGAUGCAUAGCCGACCUGAGAGGGUGAUCGGCCACAUUGGGACUGAGACACGGCCCAAACUCCUACGGGAGGCAGCAGUAGGGAAUCUUCGGCAAUGGACGAAAGUCUGACCGAGCAACGCCGCGUGAGUGAAGAAGGUUUUCGGAUCGUAAAACUCUGUUGUUAGAGAAGAACAAGGAUGAGAGUAACUGUUCAUCCCUUGACGGUAUCUAACCAGAAAGCCACGGCUAACUGCGUGCCAGCAGCCGCGGUAAUACGUAGGUGGCAAGCGUUGUCCGGAUUUAUUGGGCGUAAAGCGAGCGCAGGCGGUUUCUUAAGUCUGAUGUGAAAGCCCCCGGCUCAACCGGGGAGGGUCAUUGGAAACUGGGAGACUUGAGUGCAGAAGAGGAGAGUGGAAUUCCAUGUGUAGCGGUGAAAUGCGUAGAUAUAUGGAGGAACACCAGUGGCGAAGGCGGCUCUCUGGUCUGUAACUGACGCUGAGGCUCGAAAGCGUGGGGAGCAAACAGGAUUAGAUACCCUGGUAGUCCACGCCGUAAACGAUGAGUGCUAAGUGUUGGAGGGUUUCCGCCCUUCAGUGCUGCAGCUAACGCAUUAAGCACUCCGCCUGGGGAGUACGACCGCAAGGUUGAAACUCAAAGGAAUUGACGGGGGCCCGCACAAGCGGUGGAGCAUGUGGUUUAAUUCGAAGCAACGCGAAGAACCUUACCAGGUCUUGACAUCCUUUGACCACUCUAGAGAUAGAGCUUCCCCUUCGGGGGCAAAGUGACAGGUGGUGCAUGGUUGUCGUCAGCUCGUGUCGUGAGAUGUUGGGUUAAGUCCCGCAACGAGCGCAACCCUUAUUGUUAGUUGCCAUCAUUUAGUUGGGCACUCUAGCAAGACUGCCGGUGACAAACCGGAGGAAGGUGGGGAUGACGUCAAAUCAUCAUGCCCCUUAUGACCUGGGCUACACACGUGCUACAAUGGGAAGUACAACGAGUCGCGAAGUCGCGAGGCUAAGCUAAUCUCUUAAAGCUUCUCUCAGUUCGGAUUGUAGGCUGCAACUCGCCUACAUGAAGCCGGAAUCGCUAGUAAUCGCGGAUCAGCACGCCGCGGUGAAUACGUUCCCGGGCCUUGUACACACCGCCCGUCACACCACGAGAGUUUGUAACACCCGAAGUCGGUGAGGUAACCUUUUGGAGCCAGCCGCCUAAGGUGGGAUAGA